GGUUGAUCCUGCCAGUUGUCAUAUGCUUGUUUCAAGGACUAAGCCAUGCAAAUGUCAGAGUACUUGUGCUUCGGCACAGGGGGGUCUGUGUACGGCUCAUUAAACGGUUUAUGGUCUACCCAACGAAGGAAGGACUUGUGCCUUUCCAACGGGAUAACUGCGCUAACCGUGCAGCUAAUACCUGGGAGAACUUUCCGCGAUCAUCAAACCAACUUGCUGGGAAACUGGCGGGUUGGGGUCUCGGAAGCUGUUGGCCGAAACAAAGACUGACGCCUUCGGGCAGGUUUAAUUG
This 292-nucleotide ribosomal RNA is filed under the name uncultured eukaryote. Its description in RNAcentral is "partial 18S ribosomal RNA". It matches the Rfam family "Eukaryotic small subunit ribosomal RNA", at positions 6 to 248 of the family's 1831-position model. The record is from RNAcentral.